GACGAACGCUGGCGGCGUGCUUAACACAUGCAAGUCGAACGGAAGGGCCCUGCUUUUGUGGGGUGCUCGAGUGGCGAACGGGUGAGUAACACGUGAGUAACCUGCCCUUGACUUUGGGAUAACUUCAGGAAACUGGGGCUAAUACCGGAUAGGAGCUCCUGCUGCAUGGUGGGGGUUGGAAAGUUUCGGCGGUUGGGGAUGGACUCGCGGCUUAUCAGCUUGUUGGUGGGGUAGUGGCUUACCAAGGCUUUGACGGGUAGCCGGCCUGAGAGGGUGACCGGCCACAUUGGGACUGAGAUACGGCCCAGACUCCUACGGGAGGCAGCAGUGGGGAAUAUUGCACAAUGGGCGGAAGCCUGAUGCAGCAACGCCGCGUGCGGGAUGACGGCCUUCGGGUUGUAAACCGCUUUCGCCUGUGACGAAGCGUGAGUGACGGUAAUGGGUAAAGAAGCACCGGCUAAUUACGUG
Molecule: ribosomal RNA, 468 nt
Filed under: uncultured bacterium
Lineage: Bacteria
Description: partial 16S ribosomal RNA
Rfam family: Bacterial small subunit ribosomal RNA
Source: RNAcentral